Molecule: ribosomal RNA, 103 nt
Filed under: Wenyingzhuangia marina
Lineage: Bacteria; Pseudomonadati; Bacteroidota; Flavobacteriia; Flavobacteriales; Flavobacteriaceae
Source: RNAcentral
GGUGAUUAUUGCAAUAGGGCUCACCUCUUCCCAUUCCGAACAGAGAAGUUAAGCCUAUUAGCGCAGAUGGUACUAGCAAUUGCUGGGAGAGUAUGUCAUCGCC